This 429-nucleotide ribosomal RNA is filed under the name Bacillota bacterium. RNAcentral describes it as "Firmicutes bacterium partial 16S ribosomal RNA". It matches the Rfam family "Bacterial small subunit ribosomal RNA", at positions 355 to 776 of the family's 1533-position model. The record is from RNAcentral. Lineage: Bacteria; Bacillati; Bacillota.
UAGGGAAUCUUCGGCAAUGGACGGAAGUCUGACCGAGCAACGCCGCGUGAGUGAAGAAGGUUUUCGGAUCGUAAAGCUCUGUUGUUAGAGAAGAACGUUGGUAGGAGUGGAAAAUCUACCAAGUGACGGUAACUAACCAGAAAGGGACGGCUAACCACGUGCCAGCAGCCGCGGUAAUACGUAGGUCCCGAGCGUUGUCCGGAUUUAUUGGGCGUAAAGCGAGCGCAGGCGGUUCUUUAAGUCUGAAGUUAAAGGCAGUGGCUUAACCAUUGUACGCUUUGGAAACUGGAGGACUAGAGUGCAGAAGGGGAGAGUGGAAUUCCAUGUGUAGCGGUGAAAUGCGUAGAUAUAUGGAGGAACACCGGUGGCGAGAGCGGCUCUCUGGUCUGUAACUGACGCUGAGGCUCGAAAGCGUGGGGAACAAACAGG